This 1229-nucleotide ribosomal RNA is filed under the name metagenome. RNAcentral describes it as "SSU rRNA". It matches the Rfam family "Eukaryotic small subunit ribosomal RNA", at positions 3 to 1242 of the family's 1831-position model. The record is from RNAcentral.
CCUGGUUGAUCCUGCCGGUAGUCAUAUGCUUGUCUCAAAGAUUAAGCCAUGCAUGUCUAAGUAUAAAUCGUUUAUAUAGGUGAAACUGCGAAUGGCUCAUUAAAUCAGUUAUAAUUUAUUUGAUAGUACCCACUACUUGGAUAACCGUGGUAAUUCUAGAGCUAAUACAUGCACAAAAGCCCGACACAAGAAGGGCUGUAUUUAUUAGAUAAAAAACCAAUGCCCUUUGGGCUCUUUGGUGAUUCAUGAUAACUAAACGAAUCGCAUGGCCUUGAGCCGGCGAUGGUUCAUUCAAAUUUCUGCCCUAUCAACUUUCGAUUGGUGAGUAGUGUUCACCAAUGGUGUCGACGGGUAACGAAGAAUUAGGGUUCGAUCUCGGAGAGGACGCCUGAGAGACGGCGUACACAUCCAAGGAAGGCAGCAGGCGCGCAAAUUACCCAAUCCCGAUGCGGGGAGGUAGUGACGACAAAUACUGAUGCAGGGCUCUUUUGGGUCUUGCAAUUGGAAUGAGUACAAUUUAAACCCCUUAACGAGGAACAAUUGGAGGGCAAGUCUGGUGCCAGCAGCCGCGGAAAUUCCAGCUCCAAUAGCGUAUAUUAAAGUUGUUGCAGUUAAAAAGCUCGUAGUUGAAAUUUGGGCCUGGCUGGCCGGUCCGCCUCACCGCGUGCACUGGUCCGGCCGGGCCUUUCCUUCUGGGGAAGCCCAUGGCCUUCAUUGGCUGUGUGGGGGAACCAGGACUUUUACUUUGAAAAAAUUAGAGUGUUCAAAGCAGGCCUUUGCUCGAAUACAUUAGCAUGGAAUAAUGGAAUAGGACGGCUUUCCUAUUUUGUUGGUUUCUAGGAGAGCCGUAAUGAUUAAUAGGGAUAGUCGGGGGCAUCAGUAUUCAAUUGUCAGAGGUGAAAUUCUUGGAUUUAUUGAAGACUAACUACUGCGAAAGCAUUUGCCAAGGAUGUUUUCAUUAAUCAGUGAACGAAAGUUAGGGGAUCGAAGACGAUCAGAUACCGUCGUAGUCUUAACCAUAAACUAUGCCGACUAGGGAUCGGUGGAUGUUACAAUUUUGACUCCAUCGGCACCUUACGAGAAAUCAAAGUUUUUGGGUUCUGGGGGGAGUAUGGUCGCAAGGCUGAAACUUAAAGAAAUUGACGGAAGGGCACCACCAGGAGUGGAGCCUGCGGCUUAAUUUGACUCAACACGGGGAAACUCACCAGGUUCGGAUAUGAUAAGGAUUG